AUGAACGCUAGCUACAGGCUUAACACAUGCAAGUCGAGGGGCAUCAUGGUCUUAGCUUGCUAAGGCCGAUGGCGACCGGCGCACGGGUGAGUAACACGUAUCCAACCUGCCGUCUACUCUUGGACAGCCUUCUGAAAGGAAGAUUAAUACAAGAUGGCAUCAUGAGUCCGCAUGUUCACAUGAUUAAAGGUAUUCCGGUAGACGAUGGGGAUGCGUUCCAUUAGAUAGUAGGCGGGGUAACGGCCCACCUAGUCUUCGAUGGAUAGGGGUUCUGAGAGGAAGGUCCCCCACAUUGGAACUGAGACACGGUCCAAACUCCUACGGGAGGCAGCAGUGAGGAAUAUUGGUCAAUGGGCGAGAGCCUGAACCAGCCAAGUAGCGUGAAGGAUGACUGCCCUAUGGGUUGUAAACUUCUUUUAUAAAGGAAUAAAGUCGGGUAUGGAUACCCGUUUGCAUGUACUUUAUGAAUAAGGAUCGGCUAACUCCGUGCCAGCAGCCGCGGUAAUACGGAGGAUCCGAGCGUUAUCCGGAUUUAUUGGGUUUAAAGGGAGCGUAGAUGGAUGUUUAAGUCAGUUGUGAAAGUUUGCGGCUCAACCGUAAAAUUGCAGUUGAUACUGGAUAUCUUGAGUGCAGUUGAGGCAGGCGGAAUUCGUGGUGUAGCGGUGAAAUGCUUAGAUAUCACGAAGAACUCCGAUUGCGAAGGCAGCCUGCUAAGCUGCAACUGACAUUGAGGCUCGAAAGUGUGGGUAUCAAACAGGAUUAGAUACCCUGGUAGUCCACACGGUAAACGAUGAAUACUCGCUGUUUGCGAUAUACUGCAAGCGGCCAAGCGAAAGCGUUAAGCAUUCCACCUGGGGAGUACGCCGGCAACGGUGAAACUCAAAGGAAUUGACGGGGGCCCGCACAAGCGGAGGAACAUGUGGUUUAAUUCGAUGAUACGCGAGGAACCUUACCCGGGCUUAAAUUGCAGAUGAAUUACGGUGAAAGCCGUAAGCCGCAAGGCAUCUGUGAAGGUGCUGCAUGGUUGUCGUCAGCUCGUGCCGUGAGGUGUCGGCUUAAGUGCCAUAACGAGCGCAACCCUUGUUGUCAGUUACUAACAGGUUCCGCUGAGGACUCUGACAAGACUGCCAUCGUAAGAUGUGAGGAAGGUGGGGAUGACGUCAAAUCAGCACGGCCCUUACGUCCGGGGCUACACACGUGUUACAAUGGGGGGUACAGAGGGCCGCUACCACGCGAGUGGAUGCCAAUCCCCAAAACCUCUCUCAGUUCGGACUGGAGUCUGCAACCCGACUCCACGAAGCUGGAUUCGCUAGUAAUCGCGCAUCAGCCACGGCGCGGUGAAUACGUUCCCGGGCCUUGUACACACCGCCCGUCAAGCCAUGGGAGCCGGGGGUACCUGAAGUGCGUAACCGCGAGGAG
This 1419-nucleotide ribosomal RNA is filed under the name uncultured organism. RNAcentral's name for it is "16S ribosomal RNA". It matches the Rfam family "Bacterial small subunit ribosomal RNA". The record is from RNAcentral.